AGUUGAUUUUUUUGAAAUCUCAGUUAAUUUUGAAUUUAAAUUGUUAUUUUUUGGUAAAGAUGUACGUGCGCGCGCAGUUUGAUAAGUUCACCGAAUAAAAUGUUCAAUUUUGUUUUAAAAAUUCCCCCAAUUUUGCACUUUCCCAAAGAAUUUUCAUAAAAAUUUUAAUUUUCCAAACACAUUUUUGUUUUAUUUUCAUUUUCUUAAUUUGGUGUUUUUUGUUUUUGUGAUUUUGUGUGUGUUGUUAAAGGCGAACUUUCGGCAUAACGGCCGACGCGCACGACAAAGUAAUUGUUUUGCUUGCGUUUUCAAUGAGAAACUAAACUAUUGUAAAAUGCCGUGCUGCGUUCUGACUGCCACUGCCAGCAGGCAUUCUAGCACGCGGACAGACAGAUAUGCAGUCAUGCAAUGUAGGGUUGUUGGAUGAGCGCGAGAGAAGUAGGAAGGACGCAAGGCAGCCACUAGGAGAGUCUGCAACUGCACGAGACAGGAUGCAUGGUAGCGGUGUGAGAGCGCUGACGAAAGUGGGAGCGAGUGUACGGUGAGCGGAAGGAAGCCUGUGUAAAGCCGAAGCGUCAAAAGAAAAAUAAAAUUUGCAGUCAACGAAAAGAAAUCCGUAUGAAAAUUGGUAGAAACCAAAGGCGAUACAGCCGAAUAACAAAGUGCGCCCAUGCAAUGCCAAAGCGAUACUAUGGGCGGCAAGUGAUAGCAGGAAUCGGUGAAACACAUACACAUACAUACAACACAUAGAAGGAGACAACCAAGAAAACUAGUUGGGCAUUGAGGAAUGCAAUGCCCGAAAGGCCAACCGACCAAUCGACCGACUGACUGCCACCACAAUCUCGGUUGUUGACCAGACAAAUGGAAGUGAAAUCAAAGGAAAAACAAAACUGAAAUAACUAACUUAGCAAUGCAGCGGGAAAUAUGUAGAUACAU
Rhagoletis pomonella (apple maggot) is the source of this 936-nucleotide long non-coding RNA. RefSeq lists it as uncharacterized. The record is from RefSeq and is a predicted model, not a curated record. The transcript is spliced from 4 exons. NCBI's taxonomy places the organism in Eukaryota, Metazoa, Arthropoda, Insecta, Diptera, Tephritidae.